Molecule: transfer RNA, 75 nt
Filed under: Candidatus Woesearchaeota archaeon
Lineage: Archaea; Nanobdellati; Candidatus Woesearchaeota
Description: tRNA-Met
Rfam family: tRNA
About the family: Transfer RNA (tRNA) molecules are approximately 80 nucleotides in length.
Source: RNAcentral
GGCGUCGUAGCUCAGCCUGGUUAGAGCACAGGUCUCAUAAGCCUGGGGUCGGGGGUUCAAAUCUCCUCGACGCCA